Metopolophium dirhodum (rose-grain aphid) is the source of this 426-nucleotide long non-coding RNA. RefSeq lists it as uncharacterized. The record is from RefSeq and is a predicted model, not a curated record. Lineage: Eukaryota; Metazoa; Arthropoda; Insecta; Hemiptera; Aphididae. The transcript is spliced from 3 exons.
GCCAAAAAUAUUGUUGCCCAUCAUGCUAAAGCUUAAUUUACAAUGUUAACAAUAAUGCUGUAGAAGGGUUUAAUAGCGCAGUAGCGAGAUUUGUUGGUUGAAAAAGGGUGAAUUUUUCUUUACGAGGAUCAUACAGUGCAAGAUGUAAUGCUGCAGUUUCAUCAUUUAAUUUUGGUCCAAAAUAUUUAAAUAAUUUUCAUAAAAAAGUUACAAAUGUAAGUCCUGGAAUAUACACUAAAAAAUUUAUAAGCAAUAUUGAUAAAAACCAGCAUAGGAGAGUUGGUCGACGUUUAAAUUUUGAUAAAUCCAGAAAAUUUGAGAAAAAACAAAAAUGUAUUGCUGGACCAGAUGAAGAUUAUGGAGCUGUAGACAUUGGAAUAGGUAUAAUUGAUAUGUCACCUGAAGAAUAUGACGCCAAAAAAAUUG